AUUGAACGCUGGCGGUAGGCCUAACACAUGCAAGUCGAACGGUAACAGGAAGAAGCUUGCUUCUUUGCUGACGAGUGGCGGACGGGUAAGUCAUGUCUGGGAAACUGCCUGAUGGAGGGGGAUAACUACUGGAAACGGUAGCUAAUACCGCAUAACGUCGCAAGACCAAAGAGGGGGACCUUCGGGCCUCUUGCCAUCGGAUGUGCCCAGAUGGGAUUAGCUAGUAGGUGGGGUAACGGCUCACCUAGGCGACGAUCCCUAGCUGGUCUGAGAGGAUGACCGGCCACACUGGAGCUGAGACACGGUCCAGACUCCUACGGGAGGCAGCAGUGGGGAAUAUUGCACAAUGGGCGCAAGCCUGAUGCAGCCAUGCCGCGUGUAUGAAGAAGGCCUUCGGGUUGUAAAGUACUUUCAGCGGGGAGGAAGGGAGUAAAGUUAAUACCUUUGCUCAUUGACGUUACCCGCAGAAGAAGCACCGGCUAACUCCGUG
Molecule: ribosomal RNA, 490 nt
Filed under: uncultured bacterium
Lineage: Bacteria
Description: partial 16S ribosomal RNA
Rfam family: Bacterial small subunit ribosomal RNA
Source: RNAcentral